Molecule: non-coding RNA, 70 nt
Organism: Dipodomys ordii (Ord's kangaroo rat)
Lineage: Eukaryota; Metazoa; Chordata; Mammalia; Rodentia; Heteromyidae
Source: Rfam
GGGAAUGUGACUUAGUGGAAGAGUACUUGCCUAGCAUGCAUGAAGCACUGGGUUCGAUUCCCCAGUACCA